This 254-nucleotide ribosomal RNA is filed under the name uncultured bacterium. RNAcentral describes it as "partial 16S ribosomal RNA". It matches the Rfam family "Bacterial small subunit ribosomal RNA", at positions 334 to 580 of the family's 1533-position model. The record is from RNAcentral.
GUAUCCUACGGGGGGCAGCAGUAGGGAAUCUUCCACAAUGGACGAAAGUCUGAUGGAGCAACGCCGCGUGAGUGAAGAAGGGUUUCGGCUCGUAAAGCUCUGUUGGUAGGGAAGAAAGAUAGAGGUAGUAACUGGCCUUUAUUUGACGGUAAUUACUUAGAAAGUCACGGCUAACUACGUGCCAGCAGCCGCGGUAAUACGUAUGUGGCAAGCGUUGUCCGGGUUUAUUGGGCGUAAAGCGAGUGCCGGCGGGU